GGGGAUGAUCGGUUUCGACAUUGCCUGACCGACCGCGAGAAGCGGGCCGAGGAUGACGCCUUAUCUCGUAAACGAUGACGUCAACCAAUAAGUGCGAAUUCCAAGCGCGCUGACUUCGCUCUCGCCGCCUGAUCGGCUAGGGCCAUAAAGUCCGUCACCCCGGGAAUGCCUCCUACCCGGUGCGUGGCGUCAUCCAGGGGGCUCGCUCCGCGAUCGCGCCUCAGGGCCGCGGGGGACUCGCACUGAGACUGGGCCGGUCGACGCAGGUGCUCAUGCCAAGCGUCGCGGCCGAGCAGAACGAUCAUGAGCUGCGCCCGGAGAAGGCGCGGGCCCUCAGCAGUGGACCCGGGUUCGAUUCCCGGCAUCUCCACCA
RNAcentral lists this transfer-messenger RNA (373 nucleotides) under Microbacteriaceae. RNAcentral describes it as "73-13 sp001898855 Standard tmRNA". It matches the Rfam family "transfer-messenger RNA". From Rfam's summary of the family: Bacterial tmRNA, also known as 10Sa RNA or SsrA, is named for its dual tRNA and mRNA-like properties. Its role is to liberate the mRNA from a stalled ribosome. To accomplish this part of the tmRNA is used as a reading frame that ends in a translation stop signal. Lineage: Bacteria; Bacillati; Actinomycetota; Actinomycetes; Micrococcales. The record is from RNAcentral. RNAcentral also lists the same sequence under 1 other name.